AAUAUGAAGUUUUAUUAAAAGAAAAAGGGGUGAAAAGAACAAAGUUGUGUCCAUCUUUGUUCAUCAUAGCUGAAAGUUAGAGAAGAGAAAGGAGAGGAGAAAGCUCUUGAGUAUUCGGCCAUUAGGAGGAGGAAAAUUGAAGGCGGUUCGUGUGUGGAUCUCGUCAACAUAUCGUCGCAAACAGGAAAUCCCCAACCAUAGUGGGCUUGGAGCUGUGAGGGAAUUCGGAGUGGCCACCCGUUCUGAAAGUUUGAUUUUCUUCUGGUGAACUGGACAUCCUUUUAUUUACGUUUGAAGUUUUUGGGCUUUUAAUGUAAUAAGGCCGCUUAAUUAUUUUUGAUGGUCUUUUAUUAAUAUGUAUUACUAAGAUAGGUAAUACUUAUUUUAACUGUAGAAAUUGGAUAGCUUUAGGGCGCGUUUUCAAAAACAACAGUUGAUUUCAAAAUAACACGACAACAAGCAAAGCUUCCGCAAUGAAA
Molecule: long non-coding RNA, 479 nt
Organism: Gossypium arboreum
Lineage: Eukaryota; Viridiplantae; Streptophyta; Magnoliopsida; Malvales; Malvaceae
Exons: 3
Source: RefSeq, a predicted model, not a curated record